RNAcentral lists this ribosomal RNA (2924 nucleotides) under Escherichia coli. RNAcentral's name for it is "bacterial LSU rRNA". It matches the Rfam family "Bacterial large subunit ribosomal RNA". Lineage: Bacteria; Pseudomonadati; Pseudomonadota; Gammaproteobacteria; Enterobacterales; Enterobacteriaceae. The record is from RNAcentral.
GGUUAAGCGACUAAGCGUACACGGUGGAUGCCCUGGCAGUCAGAGGCGAUGAAGGACGUGCUAAUCUGCGAUAAGCGUCGGUAAGGUGAUAUGAACCGUUAUAACCGGCGAUUUCCGAAUGGGGAAACCCAGUGUGAUUCGUCACACUAUCAUUAACUGAAUCCAUAGGUUAAUGAGGCGAACCGGGGGAACUGAAACAUCUAAGUACCCCGAGGAAAAGAAAUCAACCGAGAUUCCCCCAGUAGCGGCGAGCGAACGGGGAGGAGCCCAGAGCCUGAAUCAGUGUGUGUGUUAGUGGAAGCGUCUGGAAAGGCGCGCGAUACAGGGUGACAGCCCCGUACACAAAAAUGCACAUGCUGUGAGCUCGAUGAGUAGGGCGGGACACGUGGUAUCCUGUCUGAAUAUGGGGGGACCAUCCUCCAAGGCUAAAUACUCCUGACUGACCGAUAGUGAACCAGUACCGUGAGGGAAAGGCGAAAAGAACCCCGGCGAGGGGAGUGAAAAAGAACCUGAAACCGUGUACGUACAAGCAGUGGGAGCCUCUUAAUGGGGUGACUGCGUACCUUUUGUAUAAUGGGUCAGCGACUUAUAUUCUGUAGCAAGGUUAACCGAAUAGGGGAGCCGAAGGGAAACCGAGUCUUAACUGGGCGUUAAGUUGCAGGGUAUAGACCCGAAACCCGGUGAUCUAGCCAUGGGCAGGUUGAAGGUUGGGUAACACUAACUGGAGGACCGAACCGACUAAUGUUGAAAAAUUAGCGGAUGACUUGUGGCUGGGGGUGAAAGGCCAAUCAAACCGGGAGAUAGCUGGUUCUCCCCGAAAGCUAUUUAGGUAGCGCCUCGUGAAUUCAUCUCCGGGGGUAGAGCACUGUUUCGGCAAGGGGGUCAUCCCGACUUACCAACCCGAUGCAAACUGCGAAUACCGGAGAAUGUUAUCACGGGAGACACACGGCGGGUGCUAACGUCCGUCGUGAAGAGGGAAACAACCCAGACCGCCAGCUAAGGUCCCAAAGUCAUGGUUAAGUGGGAAACGAUGUGGGAAGGCCCAGACAGCCAGGAUGUUGGCUUAGAAGCAGCCAUCAUUUAAAGAAAGCGUAAUAGCUCACUGGUCGAGUCGGCCUGCGCGGAAGAUGUAACGGGGCUAAACCAUGCACCGAAGCUGCGGCAGCGACACUAUGUGUUGUUGGGUAGGGGAGCGUUCUGUAAGCCUGUGAAGGUGGCCUGUGAGGGUUGCUGGAGGUAUCAGAAGUGCGAAUGCUGACAUAAGUAACGAUAAAGCGGGUGAAAAGCCCGCUCGCCGGAAGACCAAGGGUUCCUGUCCAACGUUAAUCGGGGCAGGGUGAGUCGACCCCUAAGGCGAGGCCGAAAGGCGUAGUCGAUGGGAAACAGGUUAAUAUUCCUGUACUUGGUGUUACUGCGAAGGGGGGACGGAGAAGGCUAUGUUGGCCGGGCGACGGUUGUCCCGGUUUAAGCGUGUAGGCUGGUUUUCCAGGCAAAUCCGGAAAACCAAGGCUGAGGCGUGAUGACGAGGCACUACGGUGCUGAAGUGACAAAUGCCCUGCUUCCAGGAAAAGCCUCUAAGCAUCAGGUAACAUCAAAUCGUACCCCAAACCGACACAGGUGGUCAGGUAGAGAAUACCAAGGCGCUUGAGAGAACUCGGGUGAAGGAACUAGGCAAAAUGGUGCCGUAACUUCGGGAGAAGGCACGCUGAUAUGUAGGUGAAGCGACUUGCUCGUGGAGCUGAAAUCAGUCGAAGAUACCAGCUGGCUGCAACUGUUUAUUAAAAACACAGCACUGUGCAAACACGAAAGUGGACGUAUACGGUGUGACGCCUGCCCGGUGCCGGAAGGUUAAUUGAUGGGGUUAGCGGUAACGCGAAGCUCUUGAUCGAAGCCCCGGUAAACGGCGGCCGUAACUAUAACGGUCCUAAGGUAGCGAAAUUCCUUGUCGGGUAAGUUCCGACCUGCACGAAUGGCGUAAUGAUGGCCAGGCUGUCUCCACCCGAGACUCAGUGAAAUUGAACUCGCUGUGAAGAUGCAGUGUACCCGCGGCAAGACGGAAAGACCCCGUGAACCUUUACUAUAGCUUGACACUGAACAUUGAGCCUUGAUGUGUAGGAUAGGUGGGAGGCUUUGAAGUGUGGACGCCAGUCUGCAUGGAGCCGACCUUGAAAUACCACCCUUUAAUGUUUGAUGUUCUAACGUUGGCCCCUAAUCGGGGUUGCGGACAGUGUCUGGUGGGUAGUUUGACUGGGGCGGUCUCCUCCUAAAGAGUAACGGAGGAGCACGAAGGUUGGCUAAUCCUGGUCGGACAUCAGGAGGUUAGUGCAAUGGCAUAAGCCAGCUUGACUGCGAGCGUGACGGCGCGAGCAGGUGCGAAAGCAGGUCAUAGUGAUCCGGUGGUUCUGAAUGGAAGGGCCAUCGCUCAACGGAUAAAAGGUACUCCGGGGAUAACAGGCUGAUACCGCCCAAGAGUUCAUAUCGACGGCGGUGUUUGGCACCUCGAUGUCGGCUCAUCACAUCCUGGGGCUGAAGUAGGUCCCAAGGGUAUGGCUGUUCGCCAUUUAAAGUGGUACGCGAGCUGGGUUUAGAACGUCGUGAGACAGUUCGGUCCCUAUCUGCCGUGGGCGCUGGAGAACUGAGGGGGGCUGCUCCUAGUACGAGAGGACCGGAGUGGACGCAUCACUGGUGUUCGGGUUGUCAUGCCAAUGGCACUGCCCGGUAGCUAAAUGCGGAAGAGAUAAGUGCUGAAAGCAUCUAAGCACGAAACUUGCCCCGAGAUGAGUUCUCCCUGAGACUUAGAGUCUCCUGAAGGAACGUUGAAGACGACGACGUUGAUAGGCCGGGUGUGUAAGCGCAGCGAUGCGUUGAGCUAACCGGUACUAAUGAACCGUGAGGCUUAACCUUACAACGCCGAAGAUGUUUUG